Molecule: long non-coding RNA, 1747 nt
Organism: Helianthus annuus (common sunflower)
Lineage: Eukaryota; Viridiplantae; Streptophyta; Magnoliopsida; Asterales; Asteraceae
Exons: 9
Source: RefSeq, a predicted model, not a curated record
UCAAAGAUGGAUCUGUACUCACCACUCCUUUCCUUUCGCUCUCUCUCUCUCUCUCUCUCUCUCUCUCUCUCUCUCUCAAAGAUUAAGAUUUUAGAUCUGGAUCUGGUCUAUUCACCGUAAGCUAUUGUUCCCGAGGAUCUGGACACCUUCCCUAAGAUGGUUGAAGAUGGAUCCCUAGCCGUCGCAUCUGGUGAAGACGAUGGUGGUUAUUUUUUUAUUUAUUUUAAAGAUUUGUUGAUUUGAACAGGUUUUCACCACAGAUCUUCUUUGGGUUUUUUUUUGUACAAAUUAUCCCUAAGAUGGUUGAAGAUGGAUUCCCAAGCCCUAACAAUGUCAUAACCGGAGCUCAUUGAUCAUGCCGAUUUGGACUUUUUAUUGAACACAGAAGAGAGAGAGAGAUAUAGAAAGAGAUAUCUGGAGUUAGAGAGAGAAAAGAGGAGCUACAAGAGGAGAGAGAGAACGGUGAUGCCAGCUGUUAGGGUUCCGGCCAUGAAACCGACUUUUCAUUUUCUGGUCUGGUGAAUCAGGAGAGCAAAUUCUUGAAGUUUUUAGGGUAUAUGCGGAACACAUUAUCAUGGGUUAUGGAAGCUGCUGCUAUUAUGGCGACUGCCAUUGCAAAUUGAGGAGGAAAGCCGCCUGACUGGCAGUCUUUUGUCGGUGUUAUCACUUUGCUCAUAAUGAACUCCACAUUUAGUUUCAUUGAAGCAAAGAACGCUGGUAAUGCAACAGCUCUCAUGGCCAGUCUUGCCCCAGGUUUUGAAUCUUGCACACAACAAAUCAGACAUAGAACACCAGUUCAAGGCGUCAUUGAUUAAUCUGCAGACAGACCGCUGGUUAAGGUCACUUGCUGUAGCAUACCAGUUCUAGAGGAGCAUUAGAAGAGUCCUGGAGGACCGUGGCAGUUCAUUGGGCUAAUGCUGCUCUUUGAUCCGCCACAUCAUGACAAUGCUGCAACUACAUGUUAUGUGGUGUUCAUCCACAAGUCAAAGGGGUCAGUGAUGGGUAUCCAUUACGACACACAGGUCGUUUACAGAACCGAUUUAUUUGGGUAUUGGGGACGGCAUCAGUUACAGGAUUCCUCCAUCUUAUGAAAUGUUGGCUACUACAUUAAACUUACCUAAAAUGUCGGAGAUUCAAGUGGAUGAGUUGUAUCUUAAAGGCACACUUGAUUUGGGCUCAUUAGCUUCGAUGAUGUCCACGGACAAGAAGUUUGGCCUAAGAAAUAGAGUAGGGUUGGGUGAGCCUAAACCCCAGUAUGAGUCUCUUCAGGCAAGAUUAAAGGCCCAAUCUAUAAACAACUCUCCCCAGAAGUUCAGUCUUAAAGUCAGCGAUAUUGCAUUUGAAUCGUAUUCUGUUCCAGAGAGAGCGGCUGAUGGAAUACGGCGUUCUUUCAUGUCAGAUAGUGGAACUCUGCAAGUUCACUAUGUGAUGGUGUUGGAGAAAGGUGACACAUAUGAGAUUAUUGAGCGUAGUUUGCCCAAGAAGCGUGUUAUUGAGAAAGAAGAGAUGGGAAAAAUCGGUAUAUAUUGGGUGAACAUGGUCAGACAAGACAUACCAAAACAUCAUAGGGAAAUCAGCUUUCAUAGAUAGCAGUUAACAGAUGCCAAGAGAUUUGUAGAAAACUGUCAACGUGAUGUAAAGAUGAAGGUGAGUAGAUCGCUUAAGUUGAUGAGGGGCGCUUCAAUUCGCACAAGGAAACUGGCAAGGGACAUGCUGGUCUUUUGGAAGAGAAUCGAUAAAGAAAUGG